RNAcentral lists this transfer RNA (72 nucleotides) under Ipomoea nil (Japanese morning glory). It matches the Rfam family "tRNA". Rfam says of the family: Transfer RNA (tRNA) molecules are approximately 80 nucleotides in length. Their secondary structure includes four short double-helical elements and three loops (D, anti-codon, and T loops). The record is from Rfam by way of RNAcentral. Lineage: Eukaryota; Viridiplantae; Streptophyta; Magnoliopsida; Solanales; Convolvulaceae.
UCCGUUGUCGUCCAGAGGUUAGGAUAUCUGGCUUUCACCCAGGAGACCCGGGUUCGAUUCCCGACAAUGGAA